CCGUGCUGCUAACUGCCACCAAGGCUUCACCCCGGCCCAAGCUUACCCCAAACCCAGACACUUGGGAUUAUAUAGAGAUUCAAGAGCAGUCAAGGAUGCCAGGGAAUCCAGUCAGGCAUGUCUCCCCUCCCCAUUUUGCUUUUAUUUAUGUUCACAGAACCAACGGGUUAAAAAAAAAACGCUGAGUUUCUGGAUCCAGUUCCGGCUUUUUGAAGGAUACCCUCAUCCCCUGAUUCUGCUCACGACACAAUGCCCACAGGGUUCAGGAGCAACCACAGGUAUCCCCAAAGAUCCUGACCUGAGAAUAAAUACCUCCACAAUACUAAACCAGUUUCAGAGUGCCGGUCCUCGAACACUACCUUCUGGAGGAAUCUGCCUCAUUGACAGGUGCUGCGGUCCUCAUCCGUCAUUUCUUUACCAUCUGACUCUGACCACAGGUAAUUGGGCCAGAAGUGACAUUUGACCUACUGGGGAGACCAUCCAUAAACCGUCCAGCAACCUCUAUCUUAUAUGAUCUGGCUUUAAAAAAUGAGCCAGACCAGUCUGGUUCCUCUCUUGAGAAUUCAAACUAAAAGCCUGCCAAGGAAAUUGUCAGAUGGCGGCGGGAGCGGCACUACCAUUGAAAAUCCAAACCGAACUGAGACGAGGGUGGCCAUUACGGCCCAUGUGCAAGAAAGUGUGGCUGUCAGAGGCUAUCAACACUGAUCAAGCCUCGAACACGGCCUCAACUGGAUCAGGUGGAUUGUGAUGAGCAAGGCUUCAUGCAUUUGUUUCCAGCCAAAAGCUUGCUUUUCAAACACAGACUUUUUAUUUUGAAAUUCUCAAGCCUACAGAAAAGUUCAAUACAACGGUGCAAAGCACAUCUAUAGACUCUUUAUCUAGAAAAUGCAGUUAACUUUUUAUCAUAUCUGUGCCGGGUUGUUUCCUUUCUUCCUCCAUUCUCUUCAUAUAA
This 952-nucleotide long non-coding RNA is filed under the name Equus caballus (horse). RNAcentral describes it as "lncRNA (ENSECAG00000047105.1)". Lineage: Eukaryota; Metazoa; Chordata; Mammalia; Perissodactyla; Equidae. The record is from RNAcentral.